AUUGAACGCUGGCGGAAUGCUUUACACAUGCAAGUCGAACGGCAGCACGGGAGCUUGCUCCUGGUGGCGAGUGGCGAACGGGUGAGUAAUGCGUCGGAACGUGCCGAGUAAUGGGGGAUAACGCAGCGAAAGUUGUGCUAAUACCGCAUACGCCCUGAGGGGGAAAGUGGGGGAUCGCAAGACCUCACGUUAUUCGAGCGGCCGACGUCUGAUUAGCUAGUUGGUGGGGUAAAGGCCUACCAAGGCGACGAUCAGUAGCGGGUCUGAGAGGAUGAUCCGCCACACUGGGACUGAGACACGGCCCAGACUCCUACGGGAGGCAGCAGUGGGGAAUUUUGGACAAUGGGCGCAAGCCUGAUCCAGCCAUGCCGCGUGCGGGAAGAAGGCCUCGG
Molecule: ribosomal RNA, 392 nt
Filed under: uncultured bacterium
Lineage: Bacteria
Description: bacterial SSU rRNA
Rfam family: Bacterial small subunit ribosomal RNA
Source: RNAcentral